AGCCAGAAUAACAAAACUGGAAUAGGUAUGCCUCGUGGGGACGCCACUGCAGUUCCUGAGAGAUUAUUGGACUAAGAAUCUUGCAGAAAAAUAUGAGAGUUGAAGUCCUAACAAGAGCACUGCAGUUGAGUUCCCAUGAGAUUCACACCAUUGGUGUUAAAAGUGGAGGUUGGAGGCGUGUGCUGAAAUAACUGGGUGGUUGCAGUCCUGAAGAGGAGGAACUGGACAUCAGUAUUGUAGAAAUAUUGAGUAUGUUUUUUUUUUUUGUAUUUAUACCUCAUGUAAUCCCUUUGUCAGAGGGGCCCGUGACCCACUGCUCUGCUGUACAUCCUGCAAUAUAUGCAAUGUGCUAAAUGCCUCUCUAGUAAAGAGUCAUACAAGAAGUCUGCAGUAGCCAGUGAAAAAUCUACAUCUAAAACAAACACUGGUCUUACUGUACUUAUUCUGGGCCAUGCUGCACUCACCCCAUCUUAUCAACGCCUCCCCCCCCUGUUUUUUGUUUUUUUUAAAUGAUCGUUCAGUAUUCCUUUUCUUUAUCUACUUCUGUUUCCUGAUGACCCAUUUGUCAUUAGUUUCCAGGAAUGUUUCUCGGCUACACUGUCUCAGUACAUUGCUUUUUUUAUAGCUUAACCCAGUGUUGGCUAAUCUUGGUACUACAGAUGUUUUGAGGUCUACAGUUAUUUAUGAUGUUCAUCCAAAUGGUCAGCAGACGUAUAAAAACAGUUAGUUAUUUUUAACUUAUUGCUCUGCUCUAUGUGUAAUUGUGAGAAUAGGUGAAUAAGGAUGCACCCACUCAAAAACUAUCAAGCAGGGCAAUUUCUUUUCUAAAUCUGUUUUAUUCUAUAUUAUAUUUGUGGGUGCUUUUGCAAACUCACAUUUAUAGAAAAUCUAUCCUCUGGUCAUCUACCUUCAGAGUGUUGACAUUAAUGAUGGUUGAGCAUCAUGGGUAAUGUGGACCUCGAAUAACUGCAGUGCCAGUUCGUUGUUGCUGCUUUAGAUAAUUCCACAAAGCAGUGUGAUUGUUCUGAUCACCAUUAAGCAGUGUCACUACAAAUAGGACAUGUCAUGGAAAAUAGCUUGUUAAUUUGUAAGCCACUCUUUAUUUUUGUUAGCUAUGAAAACAUACUUGAUUCAUAUAUAUCAUUUUUUUUUUUAACUCUCUUGGUAGUGUUUUUUUGUUAUACAAAUCUGUUAAUGUUAGGCUCUGAAAAGCUGCAUCUGGACUGGACUGGAAUAUAACCACAACUGGAGUUUACACCUAGAGUAAAAGUGUUUUUUGUGUGUAUGGGUUAGAACUUUGGUAGCCAACCAGUAACACUUCAGGUGCUGUGGUACUAAAUCUCCCAUGUCACAGCCGGCAUAGAAUCACGUGGUAUGUCUACAGCAGCAGGAGAGACACCACUGGCUUAGGUAAUUUACAUGUGUUGACAUAGUUUAUAUCAUAUUCCCUGCAAAAACACGAUACAGAAAUAAAUUACUUAAAUAAUUUGAAGAGAGAUCAUCCCUAUUAGAGCCAUAUUAAAAGCUUUUGCUAUUUAAGAGCUGUGUUGCACCCCAAUCCGAUGUGAAGUAGCACACGGAGACACAUUCAUUUAUAGUAAAGUACCAGUUAGAAUUGCUUUUCUGUUGCAAGUUAUGCAAUGUAUUAACAGUAGAGCUGGAAGGGGGACGGGGGAAUGUACUCAGAGCUAUAUUCUGAUUGGCUGCUUGGUUCUGGAUCAGUCAGAAUACAGCUAAAAUCUACAGCAUAGUUCAUGAUUAGAAAAGUGUUUAGACUAGAAAUUGCAAUCUUCUACAGAACAACAAACUCAAACUAAACUGAAACAUUAGAAUGUCCAAGUGUAUUUCGGACUGAGAACAGAAAGGUCUACCAUAGCAAUCCUGUAAAACCUACUCUAGGGUUUGUAGAAUUUGCCCUCCCUGCUUUUUAAGAUGUGCUCACAUGGUGAAUUUACCUUUCCAAUGCUUUCUGUGUCAUCCUCUAAUACAGCAUGCUGCACCUUGCAUAGUUUCUGCCAAACAUGCAUUAAAUAACCUAAUCUUCUCUAGUUCAUGGCCGCCCGUACCUUCUGUAACCCACUGCCAUCUGAAACGUCUCUGGCUUACUGCCACCCAUGUCUUCUGUAGUCCAGAAGUCGUCAGAAUGUUAUUGCAAGACAUCUGAAGAGCUACGUUAAGCACCUGAUUUUUCUUUUUAUUUAUUUUAGUGUUGCAAUAUUUUGGGAAAUGUAUGCAUAAACGCAGCAAUAAUGGAAGUGUUAUUUACCAUUUUAUCCCAACUUAGUGUAAGAAUUGUGCAGGCCAACUUUCAGUAUUUUUUUUUAAAUGUGUAUUUAUUUUAAUAUAUGUUUUUAUAUUUACUUUUUUUUUUUUGUAGCCAACACGAAACAAAGCCUUCAAACUCCAACGCUGUUUGACGCUAGCUUGUCUGAAAUUCUAGCCACAUAUAAUGCAAACUUGCAUAAAUGUAAUUUAUAUUUUGAGCCGUAAAGGGUCAUCCAACUGCCACAUUUCAAAGCCUAAACACUUCAAGCACUGCUUGUGAUGUGUUCUAAUUGAUAUAUUCCAUGUCAUUAAAGAACUCAUCUCUAUUGGGGAGUAAUUUUAAUAAUUUACCCAUAAUGAGGGAGGUUGUUCAACAUGGCUUGUAUGUUUCUUUAGAUUCUUCUUUUUCUCAAUAGUCCACAUAUUCUGUGGCAGUAGAUGUUGGUAGAUAUGCAAAAAAGGUUUUGUCCGAAUCAUAAGCCUUUUAAUCAACACCCAAGCAAAUCAAUGUAUCAAUUUAUUUCCCCGACAGAUACAUUAAUUUCAGUAUGGUUAAAAGGCUUUUGAUUCGGCUCAAUUGACUUUAUGGGCAAAACACAUUUUUGUACAUAUCUAGAUGUUGGUCUUUGAAGUGCAGUCUAUCUAAGUUGGGAAGUUGGCACUUUGCAACAAUGAGACGCCACUCACAAGCAAUGCACCAGUUUAGUAUACACUUGGGGCUCAAGGAUAAUGUAUUGUCUCUUUCCGCCCAAGUAAACACCUCACCUCUAAAUCUUAUGUCACGUAUUUUCUUUAAGUGGCAAGUAACGCCCUUUAACCUAAAUGUCCAGUACUAUACACAGAAUAUAGAUCCAUCAGUGACCAUGGUUUAGAGCACGGUUGCCCAAAAGGUAGAUCCCCAGAUGUUGUAGAAUUACAACUCUCAUGAUUGCUUUAGAAUGACAAGGCAUCAUUUAAGUUGUAGUUUUAAAACGUCUAGGGGGGAUCUACCUUUUGGGCUCUCCUGGGUUAGAGAGGGUCCAUUUCAUAAAUUGGAUCACUCUUGUUAAUAGUUUAGGCCCAUUAGCAACACAGAUUAAUCCAAAAUCAAACUUGAAACAUUAAUCGAAAAAACUAUUUUGGUGUUGGCUGCUGCCUGAAAUAAGAUACAAUUUUCUGUUAUUUUUUUUUAUACAGUAAUACAAUUGUCUGUUAUUUUUUAUGGUUUAUGAGCAGAUACGAGCAGGUUAGUUUAACUGGAUGGCCAUAUUCCCUUUGAUGGUUAAAUAAAAAAAUGUAUAGUUUUCUGUGGCAAGUAGCCUCUCUGUAUGUGUACACUGACUCUCCUUUUAUCAUACAGAUACAUAACAAUUUCUAUAUAUCUUUUUUAAAUUUAUGAUGUGAAAAGGAGGCAUUUCAAAAAUCUAGAUAUAUAUCAUAGCCUGUCUUUUAAAAUUAAUUCCUAACAAGAAUCGUUCAACCUUCUAUCUUAAUUGUUAAUGUAAAAAAGUGUUGUAAGGCACCUUAAGUAAAAUAGUCUGUUACUUUGGAUAAAAUUUUUUAGUUUUUAAAGAGAAAGCCAGCAAACCAUGUGAAUGUCACUGCAUUUUGAUACUACAGCAGAAUUUGUAUAUGUAUAAUUAUUUUUAUUUUAUUUUGCUGAGAUACUGUCAUUUGCAAUUGUGGCAUUGUAAAAUUAGUAGCCGCACUACACAUUUAUAUAUCUCUUUCUAUGGCUCAUUGUUAACUACAUGACCUCUAGUGACAGUCAGAGAAAGAUUUGCAAGAGAACCACAACAUAAAAACUUGAGAUGCGUGUAGAAAGAUGCUGCAGACGCUCCUAGUAAAAAGGUUAAUUCAAAACAUGAAUUGAGAGUUUAUUUAGAGAAUUCUGCUGCCAUUUUUAACUUUAUUCACUGGCCAAAAUGUAGAAUCUAAAGUAGCUAAAUGGUUGAUGUAAAAGAAAAUGUAUUUUUCCUGCAUUGCUUCUGUAAAUACAUAUGUUCCUCUUUGCUGUAAGGUAUCCAUUUUAAUUUAUUGUAAAUCAUCCCAAACAGCGUGUAACUUAAAAAUGCAGUGUAUUCAAUGCAUUUUUAAAAGUAAAUGCACCAUUUUGUGGCAGUGUGCCACUGACUAGAUCAGAAUUGGGCACCCUGCCUUCAAAACAUUGAAGUCUUAAAGGAACACUAUAGCUUUAGGAAUACAAACCUGUAUUCCGAACACUAUAGUGCCAGUGUCCCAGUCAUAGACAGGUCCCCCAAACCCAUGUUCUAUAAAAUGUAAAAAAAUGUAAGUUCUAACUUAUUAAUUACUCUUCCCUCCCCAUCCCCCCACCCACCUCUCCCGUGCUGAAGCUUCCUUGGUGCUGCUCACCUCUACACCUCCAGCUUCUUAUCAAGGAGGCAUGGCCCCAUCCGCAAUUGUCCAAUCCAAUGCUUUUCUUAGAUGUGCAUGUGCAGUACACGUCUGUGCGCACAUUCAGGCUUCCCCAUAGGAAAGCAUUUUCUUCAUUGCUUUCCUAUGAGCUUCCGUGUCACGUGACAAAGUUUCACUCGGUCAGUGCUGUGGAAGUGCCUCUAGUGGCAGUCUGGAAGAGACUGAGAAUAUUUUACAUUGCAGGGUUUAUAGGACCAGGGCCACCUCACCAAGGCCACUUUAAUGUGAUGAAGUGGUCUGGGUGACUUCAAUCCUUCACCAUGAUUGGGUUGUCAUCAUCCUUGACAAGCCCAAUAGCUGGCCAAAUACAUAUUUUUUAAUUUUUUUUUACACUAAAGCUGCAUUUUUAGUAACUUUUUUUUUUUAUAUAUAUAUAUAGAUACUUAGCUUAACUUAUUUUUGCAAAAAAUAGCAGUAUCUCCUUUGUCAGCCUUCUGCCUCUCAGGUUUUUCUGUCAGCCUUGCCUGCUUUAAUGUUUCUCUAAUAAAUGGUAGAAAUCAGGUACCGCUGAACCUUAGUCUGGUAGAGGAUUGUGGGAGUUAUCUCAGUUGGGCACAAAGAAUAUAGACUUCCACUCAAUCCUUUGCCCUCUUUCCCAGGCUUGCGCUUCCAUCCUGUAAUGAACGUUCACACAGAACAUUUUCCUUUUAAUGUGCAAAUUGAACAUAUUGUAUUCCUUCUUCCUAUACAGGCGAGUUAGGCAUUCAAUAGUUGAUUGUUUUUUUUGAAGACACUUAACUUUAUAGAACAUGUCACUUAAGCCAGUAAAGCCUUGUACUGCUGCAGUCAUACCUUCUCUGCUAUUCUGGCCUUUCCAUUUUUUAAUAAUUUUUUUUCCAUUUUAUUUUGAGAUGCUGUUACUGAAACGCUGCUAUAAACUAAUUGCAUGGAGAAACCAAACACUAAGACAUUGUAUCAGAGUCUAUCCAACGCUAAAAUACUCCCCAUCCUCCCCCCACUGCACUCAUGUCCUCUUUCAUAUCCCCCAAACCUAUUUCUGGACAAUUACAUAUUGUAAUUGUUGGAACUAGACAUAUCACCAUUGUAAAUUUUCCACUACCAAUGGAAUGUAUUUUGAUUGUUGGCACACUAAGCAAUACGUAACGCAGGGCUGGCUAUUCUGUCUCUCCCUGAAAGGGCCACGGUUAGCCAGUCUUUGUUGCACCGGGAUCACUACACAUUGUCCAUGUUGCACGGCAAGAACAUGUAACCAACAAAGAAACACAUCCUACAGAGUCCUGCGGUUCUGCUGGAAUUGUUAGUGUGGCACAUCACUGCCACCUUUACACUAAACCAGUGCUUUAUGGGUUGUUUUUCAUUUCUUUGUAUUUUAUUUUUAAUUGGUUCUUGUAAUAUAUUUUGUUGCUUUUUUAUUUAAUUCUCACUGUUUUAUUGUCUGACUGUGAACUGCUAACAGUGUUAUAUGUGAUGUGAAUGUGACUCCUUGAGCGAACACAUUUCUUUUUGUUAUUUUUAAGAAAAUGAAAAUAAAAAAAUGAAAAAAAGGAAGUUGCAAUAUUUUAUCGCAAAUAAACUUGAAGCCUCUGCUUAA
Pelobates cultripes (western spadefoot toad) is the source of this 6232-nucleotide non-coding RNA. The record is from the annotation of a GenBank genome assembly. Lineage: Eukaryota; Metazoa; Chordata; Amphibia; Anura; Pelobatidae.